CACGCGCCCAACGCCUUCACCCGCGCCUUCUCUUCUUCCUUGCCCUAAUCGCCGGCGGUGGUUGCUCCUUUCCGAGUGUACAAAACGGAAGGCCGACUCUUCUCUUCUUCAUUUCUUUCAUCGCGCCGCCGCCACCUUACUCUCGAUUCCGCGGGUUGUGCCCCAGCCAACGCCUUCUUCCCUUCAUCGACGCGGAUCCAACCGAGCCCUAGCGCCGGCUGCCACCACUGUGCCUUGCCAACGCCACCAUCCUUGUGCUCUAACGCCGGCGACCCUUGGGCGAGAAUCGGUCAUCGCGACUCCUCCUCUUUGGGCUCGCGACACAGCCGAUUCCUUGCUUCUGCCCUAGCCUCCAGCCGCGUGCCCUAUUUGAUCUUGGAGGUCACGGAUUGGUGAGGUUUUUGUGCUUUGUGGGGUGUUUCUGAUUUCCGGCAGCAACCCCAUCCUGUCGCAUUUUGAUUUCCAGCAGUGAUCCCAACCGUGAGGUGAAGUUUUAUGUUGUGGGUUAGCAGUCAAGGCUGUAAUUGUGAUCGUGAGGUGCAUUAGAACUUUCUGUGGGGUUGUGCUGUGGUUGGACAACCACUCCAUUCAGGGGCUAUUGGUUCUUGUAACGACUGUAAGUUUGAGGACAUUGACGUGAGAUGAGUAUCUCGGAGUCAGAUUUGGACCAUUUUAUCGGAGGCGGG
Zingiber officinale is the source of this 686-nucleotide long non-coding RNA. RefSeq lists it as uncharacterized. The record is from RefSeq and is a predicted model, not a curated record. Lineage: Eukaryota; Viridiplantae; Streptophyta; Magnoliopsida; Zingiberales; Zingiberaceae. The transcript is spliced from 3 exons.